CUCGUUGUGGUCUAGUGGUUAGGAUUUAUGGCUCUCACUUAUAAGGCCGGGGUUCGAUUCCCCUCAACGGAA
This 72-nucleotide transfer RNA is filed under the name Caenorhabditis briggsae. It matches the Rfam family "tRNA". From Rfam's summary of the family: Transfer RNA (tRNA) molecules are approximately 80 nucleotides in length. The record is from Rfam by way of RNAcentral. Lineage: Eukaryota; Metazoa; Nematoda; Chromadorea; Rhabditida; Rhabditidae.